UUGAAAGCCUAAUAAUCUGUUCAGACAGUCCGGAUAAGAUGUACAUGGUGACACUUGAAAAUUCAACUUCUCCUAAUGCUUCUCUCAAUGAAAACAAAGAAAAUGAAAAAGGUUGUCACAUCAUAAAG
Non-coding RNA from Oryza sativa Japonica Group (Japanese rice), 128 nucleotides. Lineage: Eukaryota; Viridiplantae; Streptophyta; Magnoliopsida; Poales; Poaceae. The record is from RefSeq and is a predicted model, not a curated record.